UGAUAAAUUUGUUUACAAUAUGUCCAAAACUCUGCUGCGAGGCUGCUGACCAGCACCAACAGGAGGUCCCACAUUACACCCGUGUUAAAAUCCCUCCACUGGCUC
Long non-coding RNA from Salarias fasciatus (jewelled blenny), 105 nucleotides. RefSeq lists it as uncharacterized. The transcript has 3 exons. The record is from RefSeq and is a predicted model, not a curated record. Lineage: Eukaryota; Metazoa; Chordata; Actinopteri; Blenniiformes; Blenniidae.